GUCUACAGCCAUAUCACCCUGAAUGCACCCAAUCUCAUCUGAUCUCGAAAGCUAAGCAGGGUCGGCCUGGUUAGUACUUGGAUGGAAGACAGAUCUUCAGAAGAGACAGCAGCUUGGAGACA
This 122-nucleotide ribosomal RNA is filed under the name Castor canadensis (American beaver). The record is from RNAcentral. Lineage: Eukaryota; Metazoa; Chordata; Mammalia; Rodentia; Castoridae.